Molecule: unclassified non-coding RNA, 2587 nt
Filed under: Lucilia cuprina (Australian sheep blowfly)
Lineage: Eukaryota; Metazoa; Arthropoda; Insecta; Diptera; Calliphoridae
Description: sex determination protein fruitless, transcript variant X1
Source: RNAcentral
UUUUAAAGAAAAACAAAUGCAAAUUUUUUUAAAAUUAUGACAUUUUAAACAAAAUAACUAAACCGCUCUUUAUAAAUUAUUUAAGCUGGCUCUCAAAAUACGCAAACAAUUUGCUCAUCAAGCUUUUGGUAAUUUUCCACCAGAAGACUUUCAUUCGCCCUCACCUCAACGAGCCCCAAGUCCUCCCGUUUCUACACAACAUCACAAUAUGGGUGGCCCACCAGCCCCUACCUCAUCAAAUAACCCACCAGAGGGUCAAACAUAUUGUUUAAGAUGGAAUAAUCACAAAUCGAAUUUGGUUGAGAUACUCGAUGCUCUCAUUAAAGUGGAAAGUUAUGUGGACUGUACCAUUGUUGUGGAUGAUCAAGUACAAUUUAAAGCUCAUCGUGUUGUCUUGGCUGCCAAUUCGCCGUAUUUUCAGUCUAUUUUACAAGAUUUACCCAUGGAUCAUUGUAGCAUUAUAUUUCCGGGUGUUAAGGCAUUUGAAAUGCGCGCCUUAUUGGAAUAUAUGUAUACGGGUGAGGUAAAUGUUACCCAAAGUCAAAUACCCAAAAUAAUGCGUAUAGCUGAGGAAUUGGAAGUCAAGGGUCUUUUUGAUAUGGCUGACUUGAAGGAGAAAUUCAAUAAACUCAGUGAGGAGCAUGCUGAAAGAUCGGCUAGUAAUCCUUAUGCAAGCACAUCGGCUCCUUCGAAUCCCUAUUCCUCGGUUACCACCACUUCAUCACCCACCGCUGGUCUAACACAUAACAAACCUUGCGCCAAGGAUUCUGAUAACUACCGUCACAAUUCCUCCUCCGUGAUCUCUACCUCUACAAAUAUUUCUCCCUCAGCUGCCCCGUCCAGCAGUUCGUCACCGCCCUAUAGUAGUUACAAAUCUCCCUAUACCAGUUUAUAUAACAAAUCACCUGCGCCCUCUGCUAAUCCCUCAUCCGCCUCAGCCUCCGCCCAGCCUCAAUCCACACAACAAACUGCCAGCAAUUUAACACCCACCUCAGAACGUUCGUCUGCUCAAUGGCCUUUGUCUCCUUCGGCUGCGGCUGCUGCUGCCAUGUUGAGUUCUGUUUAUGAAUCGGCUCCCGAUAUGAAUCCCUUAAAACGUAAAAAGUUAUCCUCUAUGUCCAGCAUGUUAAUGAAUCGUGAUACUCCCAUAUUGCGUAAUGUUUUGGCUCAAGCCAAUCCAGCCGAUUCGUCACAACAAUUGCCUUUAUUGUUGCCUAAUGCUGGCAAUAAAGGGGACAAAUCCUCAGGUUCAGCCGACAAAAAUAAUCAUAGUUUCAAUGGUUCCGAUUAUAGUGAUAAGAAAUACCAUGAUGAGCCUCAUUCUCCCUUUACCGAUCGUUCCUUUGAGGAUGAUGGUUUCGAUCCUAAGGGCAGUAAUUUCGGUGGCAAUUUUGCUGCCAAUGGCAAUCAAAAACCCGAAUGGAAACGUUAUAAACAAUAUACCCGCAGUGAUAUUAUGUCCGCCAUCCAGUGUGUACGUGAAGGCAUGAGUGCUUUGCAGGCUUCACGCAAAUUUGGUGUACCCUCGCGCACUUUGUAUGAUAAGGUCAAGAAGUUGGGCAUUACCACCGGACGGCCCAUGAAUCGUACCAUGAAACGUAGCCCUAGUAGUGUAGAAUCCUCUGCGGCUUUCCCUUAUGCUCAUGGUUAUGGUCAAGCUUCUGCGGCAGCUGCCGCCAUGCAUGAUGCUGCCAUUAGAGAGGAACGUGAACUUAAAGAACAUCAUCGCAAUAGUGAACAUCAUCAUUUAGCCCCAACUAUACCUCAUCCUGCUGCAGCUCUCUUAGAUCAUGCUUUCUUACAGCAGGCUUUGGAAAAUCGUGGAGGUGGUGAUAUAGCAGGUAGAGAAGCUUUACAUGCUAUGGCUUUGGCAGCUGCUGCUCAUGCUGCUGCCAAUCGUAUGUCCACCAGUCCCGGACCCAAUGGCAAUGCAGUACGUUCACCCAGUCCCUCUAAUUUCGCCCUAAAAUACAAUAAUAUGCGUAAUGCCGAACAAGAGCUAAUGGAACGUCAUGAAUUGGAGCGUGAAAGAGAACGCGAACGUGAAUUUGCUGAGAGAGAACGUGAACGUGAUCAAGAUUUAGAACGUGAACGUAACGAUGAAGAAGAAGAUGAUCAUGUAGAAGAUUUAUCGGUGGCACGUAAAGAGAAUAGUAGUUCACCUUUAGAACAAAGAGAAAGACCUGAAUCUCCUUACUCACCGGGAGUAACAAAUUCUGCCGAUAAUGAUAAAACAGUAAUAAUGACCACUAAAUUACCCUCUAAUGCCAGCAGCAGUGAUGAGACUUUCAUCACAGAAUCUAAUCUCAAACGUGAGGUGGUAAUAGAUGAUGUUAGAGCCGACUGAUUGAUGCUAACCAUGGCUUGGCAAUAUGCGGCCGAUACUUGUUAUGAUGCUUUAUUUUCCUCACGUUGAGCGAGAGAGUCACACAGAGAGAGAGAGAGUGAGAUUCUUAACUCUCUGCUUAGUUGAGGUUAAUAUCUAUACAUAUGUUUGUAGGGUUUUAUAUUUUCGUUUAACAUUUUUACAAGAAAAUUAUUUUCCUAGGAAAAUAAAAUGGCGGUACAUUAGCUUUAUAUAACACAA